UCACAGGGCUGGCACUCCCAGAGGGGA
This 27-nucleotide non-coding RNA is filed under the name Homo sapiens (human). The record is from RNAcentral. Lineage: Eukaryota; Metazoa; Chordata; Mammalia; Primates; Hominidae.